RNAcentral lists this ribosomal RNA (539 nucleotides) under uncultured bacterium. RNAcentral describes it as "bacterial SSU rRNA". It matches the Rfam family "Bacterial small subunit ribosomal RNA", at positions 791 to 1329 of the family's 1533-position model. The record is from RNAcentral.
UAGUCCACGCCGUAAACGAUGGAUACUAGGUGUCCGGGAAGUUAACCUCCUGGGUACUACAGCUAACGCGUUAAGUAUCCCGCCUGGGGAGUACGGUCGCAAGGCUAAAACUCAAAGGGAUUGACGGGGGCCCGCACAAGCGGUGGAGUAUGUGGUUUAAUUCGAAGCAACGCGCAGAACCUUACCUACCCUUAACAUCCCAGGACAACCUCAGAGAUGAGGCUUUCUCUUCGGAGACCUGGUGAUAGGUGCUGCAUGGCUGUCGUCAGCUCGUGUCGUAAGAUGUUUGGUUAAGUCCAAUAACGAGCGCAACCCCUAUCCUUAGUUACCAUCAUUAAGUUGGGGACUCUAGGGAGACUGCCGGUGUUAAACCGGAGGAAGGCGGGGAUGACGUCAAGUCCUCAUGGCCCUUACGGGGUAGGGCUACACACGUACUACAAUGGCAGAAACAAACUGACGCUACGCCGCGAGGCCAAGCAAAUCAGUAAAACACUGUCCAAGUCCGGAUUGGAGUCUGCAAUUCGACUCCAUGAAGUUGG